CUAAAACACCGAUAAGGGUGUACGGUGAAUGCCUUGGCACAAGAAGCCGAUGAAGGACGCAGGAGCCGGCGAUACGCCUCGGGGAGCUGGCAAACAAGCUUCGAUCCGGGGAUGUCCGAAUGGGGAAACCUAUCCAAGUAAACCUUGGUUGCGCUCAUACGUGGUGUAUGGGCUGCGGUAACCAUGCGAAGUGAAACAUCUCAGUAGCAUGAGGAAAAGAAAACAAGCGCUAGUUUUUUGACUUCUAGCUUCUUAGCUUUUUAAGCGGUUUGGAUUUUUUCAAAUUGCUUAGGAAGCUACAAGCUAUUGGUUCAAAUCUCUAGCCCAUUCCCCUAGUAGUGGCGAGCGAACGGGGAGCAGCCAAAACUCUAUUCAUGUCUUGUGCUCCGCACAAGAACUGAAAAACCGAAAAACUUAAGAACUGAGGAACCUCACCUUUGCUUCCUCUCCCCUGGCGGGAGAGGGUAGGGUGAGGGGGAAGGUUUUUAGGUUCAUACGUUUUUUCGUUCUCGCGCGGAGCGCGAGAGAAAGGUUACAGCCGUUGUGAAUGCGAGUGUAGCAAGGCCAGUUGUUCGCCUCUGUAAAGGCGAGGGAAAAAAUGUUGAGCUGUCUAGUAGAAUACGCCUGGAAAGGCGGACCAAAGAGGGUGAUAGUCCCGUACGCGAAAGAUCUCAAUCGUUUCCUGACUGGUUCUUAAGUACUACGAGACACGUGAAAGCUCGUAGGAAUCUAGGUCGACUGCGAUCUAAGGCUAAAUACUUCUUGUGACCGAUAGUGAACUAGUACCGUGAGGGAAAGGUGAAAAGCAGCCCGGUGAGGGCGAUGAAAUAGUCUCUGCAACCGUACAUCUACAAUGAGCGGAAGCUCAAACUGCUUCGCAGUUUGGAAAUUCGAAGCACUAAUCUCUAAAUCCGAAACAAUCUCAAAAUUCAAACGAUCUAAAUUCAAAACAGUUUUGGAUUUAAUUAUUUGAAAAUUAGAAUUUGUUUAGGAUUUCGAAUUUCGGAUUUGGGAUUUCCCAUCUGCGAAGUAGUGGGCGACCGCGUGCCUAUUGAAGAAUGACCCGACGAGUUAUCUUACAUCUUUUGUCUAAGGGCCCUAUACAAGCCUGAAGGCGUAGGGAAACCGAGUGUUAAUAGCGCGUUUUUUUCGUGAAAUCUAAUUAGAUUCGCGAAAAAAGAAGGUGUGGGAUAGACCCGAAACCCGGCGAGCUACUCAUGGCCAGGAUGAACCCAAGGUAACACUUGGGGGAGGUCCGAACUCACUAUUGUUGCAAAAAUAGGGGAUGAGCUGUGAGUAGAGGAGAAAUUCCAAUCGAGCCGGGUGAUAGCUGGUUCUCCUCGAAAUAGCUUUAGGGCUAGCCUUCCUGAUAUGAAUUUUGGAGGUAGAGCACUAAAUCGAUAUUUGCGGCGCAAGCCGUAGAGUCGAAUUAAACUCCGAAUGCCAAAAUUUUCCAGGGGGAGUCAGACCGUGAGGUCUAAGCUUCAUGCGUCUAAAGGGAAACAGCCCAGACCGUCGUUUAAGGUCCCCAAAUCAAAGCUAUAGUGUAAAGGAUGUUUCUGUCCCCAGACAGGUAGUAGGUUGGCUUAGAGGUAGCCAUCCUUUAAAGAGUGUGUAACAACUCACUACUCGAGUAUUCCCGAUUUAUCGGGAGUGGGGAUAGGGGCGCCGACAAUGUAUUGGGACUAAGCUUUGUACCGAAGACACGGAUUUUCCGAUUUAUUUCGGAAAGUGGUAGAGGAGCAUUGUGAGUGCAGCGAAGCUGGACCCGCGAGGGCCGGUGGAGUGCUCACAAGAGAGAAUGUUGGGAUAAGUAAUCUGUAUGCAGGUGUGAAUCCUGCACGCCGCAAGUCCAAGGUUUCCUGGGCAAUGCUGAUCAGCCCAGGGUUAGCCGGGCCUAACCGAAGUGCCAAAGGGCGCUUUGGGAUGGAAGAGACGGUUGAUAUUCCGUCGCUGCCACUAGGUUAUCUCCGGAGCAACGCAUCAUGGUAGUACAGGCGUAAUCUGACUCAUUGCGUCCCUGAAUUUGUAGGGUGGCUUUCCAGGUAAAUCCGGAAAGCCGUCCCGAUUAUAUCGGGACGAGCCCGAGAGUUAGGGGGAAUCCCGCAAGGGAAAUCUGUGCAAUCCAAGGUGCCUAGAAAAACUUCGGAGUCACGCAUGGUGGCAUCCGUACCGCAAACCGACACCGGUGGACGAGGAGAGUAUCCUCAGGCGAACGAGCCAAUUUUCGUUCAGGAACUCGGCAAAAAAGCGGCCGUACCUUAGGUAUAUGGCCUGCCCUGGAGCAAUCCAGGGUCGCAGCGAAUGACCCCUCCCGACUGUUUACCAAAAACACAGGUCCCUGCAAAAGCUAAAAGCUGAAGUAUAGGGGCUGAUGCCUGGCCAGUGUCAGAAGGUUAAACCCGCUGGGGCAACCCGGUGGGCCAAGCCCUGAUGAACGCCGGCGGUAACUAUAACCGUCCUAUGGUAGCGAAAUUCCUUGUCGUGUAAGUUACGACCCGCACGAAUGGCAUAACGAGUAGGGGACUGUCUUAACGAAAAGCUCGAUGAACUUGCAUUAUCGGUAAAGAUGCCGUUUACCCGCAGCAAGACGGAAAGACCCUAUGAAGCUUUACUAUAGCGUGUCAUUGGGUCAAGAUUUAGUUUGCUUAGGCUAGGUGGGAGACUUCGAAGUCCCGACUCCGGUCGGGACUGAGUCGCAAUGUGAAAUACCACCCUGACUGGAUUUUGAUUCUAAUCUCAGUGUAACCUGCUGGGAAACAGUGGCUCGUGGGUAGUUUAACUGGGGCGGUUGCCUCCUAAAAGGUAACGGAGGCGUUUAAAGGUCGGCUAGGCGCGGAUGGAAAUCGCGCUCAUAGUGCAAAGGCACAAGCCGGCUUGACUGCAAGACUGACAAGUCGCGCAGGUACGAAAGUAGAACUUAGUGAUCCGACCAUCCAUAGUGGUAUGGUGGAAGCUCAACGGAUAAAAGCUACUCUAGGGAUAACAGGCUGAUCCGGUCCAAGAGUCCAUAUCGACGACCGGGUUUGGCACCUCGAUGUCGGCUCGUCGCAUCCUGGGGGUGAAGAAGCUCCCAAGGGUUAGGCUGUUCGCCUAUUAAAGCGGCACGCGAGCUGGGUUCAGAACGUCGUGAGACAGUAAACAUGUGCUGUCUAUAAAUCUAGCUAUAUGCUGGAAAAUCUGAGUAUCUCAUAUUACUUGUAUUGCUUACCUAGUCCUUAUAUGGUAGAAUACAAGUGACAAUAUAUGAGUGCAGACAAUCAGCAGGAAAGACUAGAUUCGUAUAUUUCCGGUUAUGUUGACGGAGAAGGAAGUUUUCACGUAGCGAUCCAAAAGGUGAAACACGUGCGAUUUGGGUAUCAGUUAUUGCCCGAAUUUCAUAUAAGUCAGAAUUUGGAUUACGCGAAAACUUUGUCUGUAAUUCAAAAGCGGUUAGGUUGCGGUUACAUCAAACCCAACCACGCCAAAAGUAAAACAGACAAAAGCUAGGUAUUUGUAGUAAGAAACAGGAAAGAUCUCUUGUAUAGAAUCAUUCCUUUCUUUACCCGAUAUCCACUUCUUUCGCCUAAACAUCAAGACUUUAGAAAAUUCGGUUUAAUCGUAAAAGCAAUGGAUAAAAAACUGCAUUUUACGAAGGCGGGUUUUAUAAAGUUAUUGCGAAUUGCGUUUUCCAUGAAUCGGAAGGGGCAAUAUCGAAAAAAGAACAUAACCGAAGUAAUCAAGAAUCUAGAAUCCUCAACGACUAUACGCUAGAUCCUCAUUAUUGAGGAAAGAUAUAGUCUGAACUGCAUGGCGACAUGCAGACUCCGAUUCGCAUCGGAGCGCCGUAGAAUUAUGAAAGUAAUGGAUACGGUUAUUAAAGUAACAGAUUGUCGGUCCUUAUCUGCUGUGGGCGUUCGACACUUGAGAGGGCUCAUCCUUAGUACGAGAGGACCAGGAUGAAUAGGGCUCUGGUGUACCGGUUGUGGUGUCAACUGCAUUGCCGGGUAGCUAAACCCUAGUUAGGAUAAGCGCUGAAGGCAUAUAAGCGCGAAGCCGUCCUCAAGAUUAGGUGUCGUUAUUCCGCCGAAAGGCGGAGUGGUAGGUUCGGGGUAGACCACCCCGCAUAUAGGCUACAGGUGUAAGCGCAGUAAUGCGUUCAGCCGAGUAGUACUAAUCAACCGAAAGUGUUUUAGUA
Molecule: non-coding RNA, 4177 nt
Organism: Candidatus Doudnabacteria bacterium RIFCSPHIGHO2_01_52_17
Lineage: Bacteria; Candidatus Doudnaibacteriota
Source: Rfam